RNAcentral lists this ribosomal RNA (492 nucleotides) under uncultured bacterium. RNAcentral describes it as "partial 16S ribosomal RNA". It matches the Rfam family "Bacterial small subunit ribosomal RNA", at positions 29 to 507 of the family's 1533-position model. The record is from RNAcentral.
AGUGAACGCUGGCGGUAGGCCUAACACAUGCAAGUCGAACGGCAGCACAGUAAGAGCUUGCCCUUACGGGUGGCGAGUGGCGGACGGGUGAGGAAUACAUCGGAAUCUACUUUUUCGUGGGGGAUAACGUAGGGAAACUUACGCUAAUACCGCAUACGACCUACGGGUGAAAGCAGGGGAUCUUCGGACCUUGCGCGAUUGAAUGAGCCGAUGUCGGAUUAGCUAGUUGGCGGGGUAAAGGCCCGCCAAGGCGACGAUCCGUAGCUGGUCUGAGAGGAUGAUCAGCCACACUGGAACUGAGACACGGUCCAGACUCCUACGGGAGGCAGCAGUGGGGAAUAUUGGACAAUGGGCGCAAGCCUGAUCCAGCCAUACCGCGUGGGUGAAGAAGGCCUUCGGGUUGUAAAGCCCUUUUGUUGGGAAAGAAAAGCAGCAGGUUAAUACCCCGCUGUUCUGACGGUACCCAAAGAAUAAGCACCGGCUAACUUCGUG